CCACCAUGAGGUGGCUGUGUAAACGUUGUAGCUUUGCCUCAAAUAAAAGGGUUGAUAUUUUCAAGCACUACAGACUCAAACAUGGAAACAGUGGCCUUACUCAGUCCAUACCUUGCCUAUAUUCUAAUUGUCCUUGUUCAUUUAAGACGUUUAAUGCUCUCAAGCUCCAUCUAUCCCGUCAUCAUGUGGAAUCAGUUGCACCACCAAAGGUGGUAGUUUCGUUCAGUUGUCAGCGCUGCAGUUUAGUGUCCUUCUCUUCAGAGAAACAGUAUUUUGAACAUUUACACAGUCAUCUGAAGAGGUUUGAAAUUGUUCAGUGUGUGUUCAAAAACUGUAACUUCAGUACAAACAUCUAUUCAACCUUUUGUACUCAUAAGCACAGAAAACAUGGCACACACCAGCACUCGCAUGAAGACUUUAGACCUGAGCUCCUGAAAACACAUUCAGAUACUCCUAUCAUCCAGCAUGAUCCAGUGAUUUCUGAAGUGGAUACAGAGGUUUUUGUUGAACCAUGUGAGGAUUUGUCUGAAGUUAUACAGGAUAGACUUGGACUGCUCUUUCUAAAGUUGGAGAGUUGUUACAAUGUGCCGAACAAGUGCAUUGAUGAAAUUGUAGAUGAGUUACAGUUCAUAUCCUGCUCCUCAUCUGGACCGGUUUUGAGACAUGUUGUCGAGUCAACCUUCAAGAAACACAACUGUGAAUUGGAUUCAGUUCUGUUAGGCGAUUUGGUGAGCAACUUGUGUGAGUCACACCCUAUUAGUUCAGCUUUAAGGAAAGAUGGUCCUUUUACUACAUCAUAUAGGAGGAGGGAAUAUAUGAAGUCACGUUUUCCAGUUGUGGAACCGAAAGAAUACAUUCUGAACAAGAAGGAAAAUAAAACAUUCCAGUAUAUUCCUAUACUGCAGUCCUUGUCACAGAUACUUAAGAAUUCUCCAGAAAAGCAUCUAGUUUGUACAAGGAGCUCAGACAGUGUGUUAAAAUAUCAGUCAUUUCAAGAUGGGUCUCAUUUUCAGAAAAAUGAUUUUUUCGCUGCUGAUGAGGAUAGAUUGAGUCUUAUCCUGUACAUCGAUGACUUUGAGAUCUGCAACCCCCUGGGAACAUCCCGUAAGAUUCACAAAGUCACUGCUGUGUAUUGGGUGUUAGGCAACAUCCCAGCACAUGCAAGAUCGUCAUUGACAAGUAUAUACUUAGCCAUUCUCUGUAAGGCCAGUGACACCAAACAGUUUGGAUUUCAGGCAGUGCUAGAGCCACUAUUGCGGGAUCUUCAAAGCUUAGAGAAAGAUGGUCUUUUUAUUCCAAGUUUUGGGAAAGUGAUCAAAGGCACUGUGGUGAGCGUAGUGGCUGACAAUUUGGGUGCUCAUGCUGUGGCAGGAUUUGUUGAAAGUUUCACAGGACCUCAUGUCUGUCGAUUUUGUCUGGGAGAGCGCUCUAUGUUUCAGACAACAGAGGUGAGAUCAGGAGUUUUUCAGCGAAGAAGUCAAGAGCAGCACACCAUGCAUGUUCAGACAGCUUUAUCAAGUCCUUCUCUUAGUCCAUGCUACGGGGUGAAAAAUCAGUGUGCACUGUCUGAAAAGCUGUGUUAUUUUGAUGUGACAUCUGGUUACCCUCCUGAUGUCCUACAUGACCUUCUUGAGGGUGUUGUUCCCCUAGAGCUGGCAUUGUCACUGAAUUCGUUCAUCAAGAACAAGUAUUUUUCCUUGGUGGAAUUCAAUAACUUACUUGCUCAGUUCCCUUACAAGUGGACUGACCGAACAAACCGCCCACAUUUGGUCCCCACUAAUUUUGCUGCAAAAAGAUCAGUAGGGGGGAAUGCCCAUGAAAAUUGGUGUCUGCUGCGUCUUUUGCCUUUUUUGAUUGGGUUGAGAGUACCUGAGAGUGAUCCAGUAUGGCAGGUGUUAAUGGUUCUGAAGGAUAUAGUGGAGCUAGUCAUGUCCCCAGCUCACACAGAGGAAAGCAUCUGCUACUUGGACACAAAGAUCGCCGAACACCGGCAAAGAUUUCUGGAUGUGUUCCCCCAAGACAAACUAAUUCCCAAACACCACUUCAUUGAGCAUUAUCCUGAGCUCAUAAGGGAAUUUGGACCAUUGUCUGCCUUGUGGACAAUGCGAUUUGAAGCGAAGCACAGCUUUUUCAAAAAAAUUGUCAGACAAACUGGCUCUUUUAAGAACAUACUGUUGUCCCUCGCCAAUAGACACCAACUCAUGGUUGCACUGUGUCUCCAUGACAACAGUGUACUCAAACAAUCUGUGUCUGUUACAAAAACAUCACAAGUGUCAUUAGAUGUACUAAAUGAGGCCAUUAAAGACUUGUUGCUGCGCAAGUAUCCAAACGUCACAAUGGUCCAUGUCUCAAACAAGGUGGCCAUCUCGGGUACAAGCUAUGCGCCAGGAAUGUUGCUGUCUUACGGUUCAACUGCAGGUUUGCCUGACUUUGCUGAAGUUUGUCAGAUCAUCUUGGUUUUUGAUAGCAUAUUGUUUGUUGUCAAACUACUAAAUGGAUGGUACAACGAGCACCUCAGGAGCUAUGAGCUAGACUACACAGGCAACAACCAAAUAAUUGAGCCCAAAGAACUACUUGAUUUCUAUCCACUGGCUAUGUACACUAUCGCAGGACGACGAGUUGUUACCUUAAAACACCACAUCAACACUCUCUUUUAAAUAAGCAAUGGAAUUUGGAAUGGAUUUUUUUUUUGUCAAUGAACUAAA
This 2705-nucleotide long non-coding RNA is filed under the name Astyanax mexicanus (Mexican tetra). RNAcentral's name for it is "lncRNA (ENSAMXG00005001810.1)". Lineage: Eukaryota; Metazoa; Chordata; Actinopteri; Characiformes; Acestrorhamphidae. The record is from RNAcentral.